Molecule: long non-coding RNA, 1341 nt
Filed under: Ornithorhynchus anatinus (platypus)
Lineage: Eukaryota; Metazoa; Chordata; Mammalia; Monotremata; Ornithorhynchidae
Description: lncRNA (ENSOANG00000044732.1)
Source: RNAcentral
AGGGCCGCGCGCCGUAGUGAGAGGGGCACGUGACGCCCCCACCCAGCCGGCGGAGGGGGAGGGGAGCGGGUGUUCUGGCGCGCGCGCCGCCGCGCGCCCUCCCUCCCUCCCCGUGGCUCCCGGGGCCGCGCCGUCCGCUGGGAUGGGAUUUUCCCUGCUGGGAUUGGCCAUGCAGAAGCAGCGGACAAGCAGUCGACGCCUCCGAAGAACAACUCUAUUUGGGAAGGGGUACCCAGGAAUGAGCUCUUCGUGGCCUCCGAGGAUGGGCCUAGCCUAACCCGACCCUUAAUCUCCUGCAGAGACUCAGAAUCAGUCGUAUUGCAACUCAUUUAAUAUUGUGAUGUUAAACUUCGAAUGUAUUUUUAUGGUAUUCACAGAGUGCCCAGCAUAUGUCAAACGCUGUUCUAAGCGCGGGGGUAGAUCCAAAUUAAAUAGGACACCGUCCCGGUCCCGCAUGGGGCUCACAGUCUAAGUAGGAGAGAGGACAGGUGCCCCCAUUAGCUUAAGGACAUUUACUGCAAUAUACAGCACAUAGAGGAAUUUCAUAUUUUUUAGAAAUUCAGGAAAGGAUCUUAAUUUAUAACUCUGGGAAACCUUCCCACAACACAACUAUAUUGUCAAGGAAAAUAACUCAGUGGUAUCAUGGGGCCUGUCUGUUUUUUUGAAUAGAAGGAGCCCAGUCUAAUGGUAGGAGCACAGGCCUGGGAGUCAGAAGGACCUGGGUUCUAAUCCUGGCUCCACCACUUGGCUGCUGUGUGACCUUGGGCAAGUCGCUCAACUUCUCUGUGCCACAGUUACCUCAUCUGUAGACUGUGAGCCCCAUGUGGGACAGGGACCGCAUCCAACCUGAUUACCCUGUAUCUAUCCCAGGGUGUAGUACAGUGACUGGCACGUAGUAAACCCUUAGCAAAUACCAUAAAAAUAGGUGUAAUAAUAGUCGUGAUAUUUGCUGAGUGCUUAGUAAAAGCACUGUGCUAAAAACUGGGAUAGAUACAGUAUAGGCAGGUGGGACGCCAUCCUUGUCCAACAAGGGGCUCACAGUCUAAGGAUGGGGAGUGAGCAGAUAUUUCAUCUCCAUUUUGCAGGUGAGGCGUCUUAGGCGCAGAGAGGUUAAGCGACUUGCCUAAGGUCACACAGUGAGCAGGUAGCGGAGCCAGAAUUAGAACUCGGGUUUCCUAACUCUCAGGCCCGUGUUCUUCCCACCAAGUCCCUCUGCUUCUCAAUAAUAGCACUUGAUUAAGGACUCCGUCCAUUCUGCACUCUUAGGUUUGAAUUUCAAGUGUUAACUUGUUACGGGCUUGAGCUUAAUGUGGCCCAGACAGAACUCUUUAUCGUCCCACU